Molecule: long non-coding RNA, 907 nt
Organism: Gossypium raimondii (Peruvian cotton)
Lineage: Eukaryota; Viridiplantae; Streptophyta; Magnoliopsida; Malvales; Malvaceae
Exons: 4
Source: RefSeq, a predicted model, not a curated record
UUUAUGUUCAUCUUUUUCACCGAAAGUAGAAAAGAAAAAAAAAGAGUUUGAAAGCUUCAAAUAUUCGGCCAUUUUGAAGCUUAAUUCAAGAUCAAGAAACCAAGAAAUCAGAUUUAGAUCGGGGGAAAUUGAAAGUAGUUGAGUAGCCGAUCUAUUAGUCGACGACAUCCGAGAUUUUGGUGAACGCUACGUGUUCGGGGAUCGUCAGCUAAGCUCAUCACACUAUCGAUAUUUUCUUUUGUAAUGGAUCCCGAUCGAACUGUAGCGGAUGAUGUCGAGAGUGUAGCUCCUGCUCCCGUGCAAGGGACGGAGCCGGUUGAUUCUCGACCGAAUACGAGUAACCAUGGUGAUGAGACUAAACAAGCCUUCUAUUCUAUGAUGAAUGAAUGGUUUACUCAAUAUAUCCGGACAAAUCCGGCUGUUUAACAACCUCCGACCCCGAUUAACCCACUUCCGAUACCUGUGGUACCUCCAACUAUUGAUCCUAUGAGAUUGAAUAAACCUCCUGUUGAUAAGAUAAGAAAACACGGAGCUGAAGAAUUUAGGGCCACAGCUAGUGAUGAUGCAGAACGGGCUGAGUUUUGGUUCGAUAAUACCAUUCGUGUCUUCGAUGAAUUAUCCUGUACACCUGAUGAGUGCCUGAAAUGUGCGAUAUCUUUGUUACGGGAUUCAGCUUACUAUUGGUGGAACACUCUAGUUUCGAUUGUUCCGAAAGAGCGUGUCACUUGGGAUUUCUUUCAGACAGAAUUUCGUAAAAAGUAUAUCAGUCAGCGAUUCAUUGAUCAGAAACGCAAAGAAUUUCUCGAGCUAAAGCAGGGUCGUAUGACCGUAUCUGAUUAUGACCGAAGCGCCGCUAAUAGUAACAAAAAUCUUAUAAGUUGAAAUAAUUAAUAUUUUGUUCUAUUUA